RNAcentral lists this long non-coding RNA (3015 nucleotides) under Malus domestica (apple). RNAcentral's name for it is "long non-coding RNA (MDOM_LNC017390)". The record is from RNAcentral. Lineage: Eukaryota; Viridiplantae; Streptophyta; Magnoliopsida; Rosales; Rosaceae.
CCAGCUUGACAAAGUUGAAGAGAGUGGGAAUAAGUGUCAUCCCCACAGACGGCGCCAAAUGUUGAUGCACAAAAUCGGUGAGGACUUUGGUACACCAGAAAGUGUCAAGUUUGUGACCUUCGCUAGAUUGCUUCUGUCACUAGUGUGGAUAAGUAUGUAAAUGGAUAGAGACAGGCAAGCAAACACAAGAUAUACGUGGUUCACCCAGAUUGGCUACGUCCACGGAGUAGAGGAGUUCUCAUUAAUUGUGAAAGGUUUACACAAGUACAUAGGUUUAAGCUCUCAUUCAGUGAGUACUAGUGAAUGAUUUAGUACAAAUGACAUUCGGGAUUAUUGUGGGAGAAUGAUCUCCUUUUAUAGAAGAGAGUUUCUAGCUUUGUUCUGGCCUUGACACGUGUCAUGCUGUGAUUGGCCUUUGAUGUUGACAUGUGUCACCUUGUGAUUGGCCUCUUAGUGUUGACACGUGUUGCGCUGUGAUUGGUUUCUUGGUUAGAGGGAAACUCUUCUGGGUCCUUGACGGUAUAACGUUGACCGGUGCUUGGUAGUUUCGGGAUUGGUCAAGUAUGGUAUAAACAAUAUCCAUAAACACUAGCAAGCUCUAAAACCCUCCAUGACUCCAUCAAAGCCAGAUCAUCUACAAACAAAAGAUAAGUACAUUCCAAAGUGAUUUUUACACACCCUUUUUAGCUUCUCAUACUGUUUGGACUCAAAAUAUUGGGUUUGGACUGAGUGUGACUUUGAGCUCGGCCUACUCGGCCCAGAAUGAAGACUUUCAGUGCCCAGGAUAGCUCUUCGAGACCACAUCAGCCCAAGGUGGGGUAGCCAAAUCCUAAUCAAUGUUUGACUCUUGGGGAGUCAGUUUGGAUUUGGUUGAGUCCUAAAUCGAGUAAAAUUGUUAAGGAUCAGGAUGAACGUUGAUAAGAUUCAUAAUAUUCCAAGAAUCAACCUUCAUAGCUGAUCAAGACCAAGAAUGAAUUAAAUACAGAAAAUGGACUAGGUUCAAAGUUCGAAGUUUUGAUAGAAGUGGCCAAGUCCGAUCCAGAGAUCAGAAUGAAGUGGUAUUGGAUCAAGGGAUGUUGAAGGAAUACAAUCCAGAUACGACUCUACCUCGACAUAAGGUGAUCAACAUGAAAACCACUCCUAUAAAUAGAAGAGGUUUUGCAACAUUUGGGGAUCUUCAACUUAACACACAAACGCGCUAUGCAAAUUCUCGCUCUACGCGAAACCCUCUUAUCUUUGAGAAAAACCCUAACCUUCCUAAUUUCGUCAAGCACAUCUUCUAGUUUGUAUAAAUAGCACUGUGCUUAAUAACCGAUGACAUUUAUAGAUUGUAUAAACAACACUGAAUCCGUAGAGUCAUGCGAUCGAGGAGCACCUUCCAGUUUGUAGAAACAACACUAGAUCGAGCUUGGUUGACUACCUAUCUAAGUUGCUACCAACAAGGAGUCUUUGAGUACUUGUUGAAAGAGGUCAUCUCACUAGCCUUCUCGCCUAAAGUGAGGUGUUCCUAGUUGGUGUUUGGCACAUUGAAAGCCGAACCUUAUUUGAACUUCGAAGUAACUAGCAACUUUGUCUUCUGGCUCUAGAGCCCAAAGGCCUAGAUGAGUUUCUUCCUCGGUCGCAAUUGCUCAGAUAACAAAAGUCAGUAGCACGUUUGACACCACCACAACAUUCACUUACUCACCGAUCGAGGUCAGUCAAUGAGUUGGCACGCCCCGCAUUCAACUGAAGGACGUAGUUAGCUCAUUAGCUAUUCGGCAUGCGCACCACGUAAGCUAAGUAGUUUUUAGGGUCAACACAUGCACUCCUCAUUAUUUAUGGCCAUUGAAUUGAAUAAAUAAAAAAGAAUCAUCGGCCAAGAUAAACAAGAGUAUGUAAGAGGCUAAAAAGGUGUGCGAAAAGCACAUCCAUAUUCAUAGUAAUAUAGGCCACGUUUGAUGUAUGGGGCUAGACUCGACUAGCUAGCUAAAUCACUAGAUUUCAUGUACCAUCAAUGAAGAAUAUGGAUAUGAUAUUCCAACUUGAAGAAUUUAAGAUGGAAUAUUCCGAAGAGGUUAUGCCAAAAACUUAUCCCAUUAAUCCCCUUUUAAAUUGUGGGAUUAGGGAGGAUAUGUUUAGGCAUCACUUAUGAGUAGUCCAUGUUAACCCUCCAAAUUAGAAGACAACACUCAUAGUCUUCCUUCAUUGCACAAUAGAUCUUGUUAUUUAGCUAGUCCAACCUAGUCUAGCCUACUUCUCCAUAUCAAAUAUGGUCAUAUGUUACAUUUAUAAGAUCUUAAUCCCAACCUAGCUAUAUUUACAUCAUCACCAAUAUAAAAUAAACUCGUAAUCAGAAAACUAUACCAUCAUCCAUAAUCAAAAGCGAGGAUAUAUAACAAUCAGGAGGAGUACUGAUGAUUAGGAAAUUUACAUCAAUCAACUUCCUAGUCUCCUAGGUUACAAAACCUGUCAUCACAGAAAAAAUACUAGCACAAUAUAAGAUGUGUAUUAUCAAUGUCUCUAUCUUGCAAUAACUGCUUGGUAACCAACAUGUGAGAGAUGAUUAUAAGAUUAGUCUUAUAUACACUCGUUGCAUGCAAGAAUCCACAAAAAUGAUUAUAAGAUGAGUGUUACAUACACUCAAUUGAUCCAAGAAUCAACAAUAGCAUAAAUCUCACAAGCAAAAAGAUAGAAAAAACUAAAUAUAUCCAUAUAUUUAUGAUAUGAGUUAAAAGAUAAAAGAACAACUAAGCAUCCCAAACCUCGUACUGGACACAUUCAGUAUGCAUACAUAAUGAAGUUAGAGAAAAUAACAAACCACACACACAGACACAUGUAUUUAUUACACCACCAAUAUGAUAACUAUACUCCCACCCUUGUCUAAUUCAGAACAACUAGCUACUCUCAUAACCCAAAGCGAAGAGUAAGAAGUAGGCCUGGCAAACGGGUCGUGUCAGUCGUGUUCGUGUAACACCUGUUAUCUUAACGGGUCGUGUCGUGUCACACCCGUUAUCUUAACGGGUCCUUAACAGGGGU